GAGGCUGUAGCUCAGUGGUAGAGCACAUGCUUAGCAUGCAUGAGGUCCUAGGUUCAAUGCCUAGUGCCUCC
RNAcentral lists this transfer RNA (71 nucleotides) under Camelus bactrianus (Bactrian camel). It matches the Rfam family "tRNA". Rfam says of the family: Transfer RNA (tRNA) molecules are approximately 80 nucleotides in length. Their secondary structure includes four short double-helical elements and three loops (D, anti-codon, and T loops). The record is from Rfam by way of RNAcentral. Lineage: Eukaryota; Metazoa; Chordata; Mammalia; Artiodactyla; Camelidae. RNAcentral also lists the same sequence under 1 other name.